GAUGAAGAACGCAGCGAAAUGUGAUAAGUAAUGUGAAUUGCAGAAUUCAGUGAAUCAUCGAAUCUUUGAACGCACAUUGCGCCCCUUGGUAUUCCGAGGGGCAUGCCUGUUCGAGCGUCAUUUCAACCCUCAAGCACAGCUUGGUCUUGGGCUUCGCCGCUAACCCGGCGGGUCUUAAAAUCAGUGGCGGUGCCGUCGGGCCCUGAGCGCAGUAAUCUCUCUCGCUAUAGGGUCCCGGCGGAUGCUGGCCAGUAACCCCCAAUUUUCUAUGGUUGACCUCGGAUCAGGUAGGGAUACCCGCUGAACUUAAGCAUAUCAAUAAGCGGAGGA
This 330-nucleotide unclassified non-coding RNA is filed under the name soil metagenome. Its description in RNAcentral is "partial contains 5.8S ribosomal RNA, internal transcribed spacer 2, and large subunit ribosomal RNA". The stretch from base 1 to 120 matches the Rfam family "5.8S ribosomal RNA", at positions 35 to 154 of the family's 154-position model. The record is from RNAcentral.